Molecule: non-coding RNA, 103 nt
Organism: Sphagnurus paluster
Lineage: Eukaryota; Fungi; Basidiomycota; Agaricomycetes; Agaricales; Lyophyllaceae
Source: the annotation of a GenBank genome assembly
GGGUCGAUGGCGUAGCUGGUUAUCGCAUCUGUCUAACAUGAAAAUUUGGCUAUCAAGUAAUGUUAUACACAGAAGGUCCUCAGUUCGAACCUGGGUCGACUCA